RNAcentral lists this transfer RNA (75 nucleotides) under Hemiramphus far (blackbarred halfbeak). Its description in RNAcentral is "tRNA-Val". It matches the Rfam family "tRNA". Rfam says of the family: Transfer RNA (tRNA) molecules are approximately 80 nucleotides in length. Their secondary structure includes four short double-helical elements and three loops (D, anti-codon, and T loops). Further hydrogen bonds mediate the characteristic L-shaped molecular structure. tRNAs have two regions of fundamental functional importance: the anti-codon, which is responsible for specific mRNA codon recognition, and the 3' end, to which the tRNAs corresponding amino acid is attached (by aminoacyl-tRNA synthetases). tRNAs cope with the degeneracy of the genetic code in two manners: having more than one tRNA (with a specific anti-codon) for a particular amino acid; and 'wobble' base-pairing, i.e. permitting non-standard base-pairing at the 3rd anti-codon position. The record is from RNAcentral. Lineage: Eukaryota; Metazoa; Chordata; Actinopteri; Beloniformes; Hemiramphidae.
UCAGAGCGUAGCUAAAAGCAGGAUAGCAUCUCCCUUACACUGAGAAGGUACCCGUGCAAACCGGGUCGCCCUGAA